GCAAUGGCGGCGCCGCUGGCAGCCAGCGUGGGCCGCGGGCUUUCCAAAAUCACCGCCUUUCACCCCAAAACUGCGGCUCUCGGGGCAGUGUGACGGCCUUUCGCCUUCAGGCGGGCGAGCGCGGGGCCGCCUGCGCGUUGCAGAUCCCAGUUGUGGUACUUGAUGCUUAAUCGAGGUGGAUAUCCUGGAUGUGGCCUGGAUGAGCCCCUGAGGCGGCCUGGCCGGCAGGAGCGGACACCGGGAGCCAGGAAAACCCUUCUGACCUGGAGGAGCGGGCACCGGGAGCCGUCAUCCUCCUGGCCAGCUUCCGCUGGCAGGGAUUGGGAAGGACACCAGGAGCCAGUGGCGUCCUACGUGCGGAUUACUGGAGUGGGAGGAAUAUCCCCUCUAUAUAAAUUAGAUAGGUACGCCUUUACAGAAACAGCUUUGAACACCGGGUCCGGGCAGAUUUGGGUUGUCAGGGUAUUCAAAAGACCACGCCUUGUGUAUCCCUGAACAGAGAGACACAGAUUUUGGACACAGUUCUCUGCCCAAUCCCACCAGAGAGAGUGGCUGCCUGGGGCUUGGCUGCUGGUGGGGGUUAAACCACUGCAACCUGUCAGAGAGGAGGUGGAUGCCCCUUCCCUGGAAACAUCAAGACCAGGCUGGACAAGCCUCUGAGCAACCUGCUCUAGUUGAAGGUUCCCUGCUCACUGCUGGGGAUUGGAACCAUACGGCCUUUAAAAGUCCCUCCCAAUCCAAGCCAUUCUGAUUCCAUGAUUCAGGCAAAAGCAAAGGAAGGGUAUUUUGAUUGUCUUGGAGAUAAGGAGAUGCAGACCCACAGGACCAGACUACAGCCAGCUCAUCCAGCUCAAAGUCUCCCCUGCAGCACCAGUGAAUGUGUCAAAGACAAGAAAUAAAUCAUAUUAAUUUAAAGCACUGUGCAAAUGAGGGUCCAGAUGCAAAGGCUUAGCUUUUAUACUCCCUCUCUCCUACUCUUCUAGAUCCUUGAAAUGUCCACACAUAGGAAAAAUAAACCCAUUUGAUUUAAAAACCACAGCUUAUUGUUUGGGACAGCAUCAGAGACUUCUCCAUCUUUAAAAUGGGAAUUCUGCAGAAUGGACUGGCCCUGAUAUGCAUCAAGACACAAACAUGGCUGUUGGCUCUUUUUGCACCCUUCCUGCACUUGAAUUGACAGCUAAAGAUUAGAAGAGGGGAAGAACCCAUCCUAUAGUUCAGGCAGAAGAUCUGAGGUGUGCUAGAUGGGACAAGGAAAUGGGAUGUGCCAAACCUACCAUGGAUUGAAAGCUUCAGGUUGGUGCAGCCAAUGGGUUUCCUGCAGGAUGGAGAAGCAUGAGGUUAAUUAAUGGAAAUCUCACAGCAGGUAAACAAGUCUGGAGAAGAUUUAUCUGGCCCUGCAGACAGCUGUAGAUGGGGAUUGAGAGGUUGGCACAACAAAGCAUUGAGGGACAGCACCUGCAGGGCACAGCCAUGCUCUGCCCUAUGUGCCCAAGGGAACCUUUUGCACGUCUGAGCCCUUCAGCCUCAGUCUCAAAAACAAGUCAGGAAUAUAACUGUGGUUGCCCCAAGGUCUGCAGCAGGGUGCUGACAGA
Long non-coding RNA from Poecile atricapillus (Black-capped chickadee), 1592 nucleotides. RefSeq lists it as uncharacterized. Lineage: Eukaryota; Metazoa; Chordata; Aves; Passeriformes; Paridae. The record is from RefSeq and is a predicted model, not a curated record. The transcript has 3 exons.